RNAcentral lists this long non-coding RNA (355 nucleotides) under Musa acuminata (dwarf banana). RNAcentral describes it as "long non-coding RNA (MACU_LNC000894)". The record is from RNAcentral. Lineage: Eukaryota; Viridiplantae; Streptophyta; Magnoliopsida; Zingiberales; Musaceae.
UUAGGUAUGUCGACGACGAAGAAAUGCUGUAAAGCUGCAUGGGAAUCUGACCACUGAGCUUAUUGUGAGAAAGGUCCAUCUCUUCCACUCUCCCGCAGCUCCCUAUGCUUUCAGGUAUUCUUCCACCGAGAUCAUUAUCUUGCAAGUAGAUAAGAUUCAGUUCAGUGAGGUUCCCGAUGGAGUCAGGUAUUUGUCCUGUUAAUCUGUUUCCUGAUAAGUCCAAUCUGUGCAGGUUUCGGAGCCCUCCAAUUGUGGGAGGAAUCAGACCGGUCAGAUGGUUAUCGCUCAAUGACAGUGUCGUGAGGUUGAAAAGAUUUCCUAUUCCUGUGGGUAUGGUGCCAGAAAUAUGGUUCGA